AUUCCGGUUGAUCCUGCCGGAGGUCAUUGCUAUCGGGGUCCGAUUUAGCCAUGCUAGUCGCGCGGGUUAGACCCGCGGCGUAUAGCUCAGUAACACGUGGCCAAACUACCCUACAGACGGGAACAACCUCGGGAAACUGAGGCUAACUCCCGAUACGCGUCGACUGUUUGAAUACACCGACGCUCAAACGCUCCGGCGCUGUAGGAUGUGGCUGCGGCCGAUUAGGUAGACGGUGGGGUAACGGCCCACCGUGCCAAUAAUCGGUACGGGUUGUGAGAGCAAGAGCCCGGAGACGGAAUCUGAGACAAGAUUCCGGGCCCUGACGGGGCGCAGCAGGCGCGAAACCUUUAACUGCACGCCAGUGCGAUAAGGGGACCCCGAGUGAAAGGGCAUAUCGCCCUUUCUUUUCUGAACCGUAGGGAGGUUCAGGAACAAGAGCUGGGCAAGACCGGUGCCAGCCGCCGCGGUAAUACCGGCAGCUCGAGUGAUGACCGAUCUUAUUGGGCCUAAAGCGUCCGUAGCUGGCCGCGCAAGUCCGUCGGGAAAUCCACCCGCUUAACGGGUGGGCGUCCGGCGGAAACUGCACGGCUUGGGACAGGAAGGCUCGAGGGGUACGUUCGGGGUAGGAGUGAAAUCCCGUAAUCCUGAACGGACCGCCGAUGGCGAAAGCACCUCGAGAGGACUGAUCCGACAGUGAGGGACGAAAGCUGGGGUCUCGAACCGGAUUAGAUACCCGGGAUAGUCCCAGCCGUAAACGAUGUUCGCUAGGUUGACACUCACUACGAGUGAGUGUUGUGCCGCAGGGAAGCCAGCUAAGCGAACCGCCUGGGAAGUACGUCCCAAGGAUGAAACUUAAAGGAAUUGGCGGGGGAGCACUACAACCGGAGGAGCCUGCGGUUUAAUUGGACUCAACGCCGGUAACCUUACCAGCCCCGACUACGGUGAUGACGGCCAGGUUGAUGACCUCGUCACGACGCCGUAGAGAGGUGGUGCAUGGCCGCCGUCAGCUCGUACCGU
RNAcentral lists this ribosomal RNA (1017 nucleotides) under Halolamina sp. IARI-CSKAB1. RNAcentral describes it as "bacterial SSU rRNA". It matches the Rfam family "Archaeal small subunit ribosomal RNA", at positions 1 to 1017 of the family's 1478-position model. Lineage: Archaea; Methanobacteriati; Methanobacteriota; Halobacteria; Halobacteriales; Haloferacaceae. RNAcentral also lists the same sequence under 1 other name. The record is from RNAcentral.